RNAcentral lists this ribosomal RNA (446 nucleotides) under uncultured bacterium. Its description in RNAcentral is "partial 16S ribosomal RNA". It matches the Rfam family "Bacterial small subunit ribosomal RNA", at positions 338 to 795 of the family's 1533-position model. The record is from RNAcentral.
CCUACGGGUGGCAGCAGUCGAGAAUCAUUCACAAUGGGGGAAACCCUGAUGGUGCGACGCCGCGUGGGGGAAUGAAGGUCUUCGGAUUGUAAACCCCUGUCAUGUGGGAGCAAAUUAAAAAGAUAGUACCACAAGAGGAAGAGACGGCUAACUCUGUGCCAGCAGCCGCGGUAAUACAGAGGUCUCAAGCGUUGUUCGGAAUCACUGGGCGUAAAGCGUGCGUAGGCUGUUUCGUAAGUCGUGUGUGAAAGGCGCGGGCUCACCCCGCGGACGGCACAUGAUACUGCGAGACUAGAGUAAGGGAGGGGGAACCGGAAGUCUCGGUGGAGCAGUGAAAUGCGUAGAUAUCGAGAGGAACACUCGUGGCGAGGGCGGGUUCCUGGACAUUAACUGACGCUGAGGCACGAAUGCCAGGGGAGCGAAAGGGAUUAGAUACCCCGGUAGUC